This 28-nucleotide non-coding RNA is filed under the name Mus musculus (house mouse). The record is from RNAcentral. Lineage: Eukaryota; Metazoa; Chordata; Mammalia; Rodentia; Muridae.
UCCAGAAGUUCCCCAGUGGCUCCUCCCC